RNAcentral lists this ribosomal RNA (419 nucleotides) under bacterium. RNAcentral describes it as "partial 16S ribosomal RNA". It matches the Rfam family "Bacterial small subunit ribosomal RNA", at positions 355 to 776 of the family's 1533-position model. The record is from RNAcentral.
UGGGGGAUAUUGCACAAUGGGCGCAAGCCUGAUGCAGCGACGCCGCGUGGGGGAUGAAGGCCUUCGGGUUGUAAACUUCUUUUGCUCUGAACAAGGCGCACUUUGGGGUGUGUUGAGUGUAGGGGUUGAUUAGCGCCGGCUAACUACGUGCCAGCAGCCGCGGUAAUACGUAGGGCGCGAGCGUUGUCCGGAAUUAUUGGGCGUAAAGGGCUUGUAGGUGGCUGGUUGCGUCUGUCGUGAAAGCUCAUGGCUUAACUGUGGGUUUGCGGUGGGUACGGGCUGGCUUGAGUGCAGUAGGGGAGGCUGGAAUUCCUGGUGUAGCGGUGGAAUGCGCAGAUAUCAGGAGGAAUACCGGUGGCGAAGGAGGGUCUCUGGGCUGUUACUGACACUGAGGAGCGAAAGCAUGGGGAGCGAACAGG